Molecule: ribosomal RNA, 443 nt
Filed under: uncultured bacterium
Lineage: Bacteria
Description: partial 16S ribosomal RNA
Rfam family: Bacterial small subunit ribosomal RNA
Source: RNAcentral
CCUACGGGGGGCAGCAGUGGGGAAUAUUGGGCAAUGGGCGCAAGCCUGACCCAGCAACGCCGCGUGAAGGAAGAAGGCUUUCGGGUUGUAAACUUCUUUUCUCAGGGACGAAGCAAGUGACGGUACCUGCGGAAUAAGCCACGGCUAACUAAGUGCCAGCAGCCGCGGUAAUACGUAGGUGGCAAGCGUUAUCCGGAUUUACUGGGUGUAAAGGGCGUGUAGGCGGGAAAGCAAGUCAGAUGUGAAAACCAUGGGCUCAACCUGUGGCCUGCAUUUGAAACUGUUUUUCUUGAGUACUGGAGAGGCAGACGGAAUUCGUAGUGUAGCGGUGAAAUGAGUAGAUAUUAGGAGGAACACAAGUGGCGAAGGCGGUCUGCUGGACAGCAACUGACGCUGAGGCGCGAAAGCGUGGGGAGCAAACAGGAUUAGAUACCCUUGUAGUC